GAUGAACGCUGGCGGCGUGCCUAACACAUGCAAGUCGAGCGAACAGACGAUGAGCUCUCUCCUCUGCCGGUAGCGGCGGACGGGCGAGUAACACGUGGAUAACCAACCUAUAAGACGGGGAUAAUUACGGGAAACCGCAGCUAAUACCGGCUAAUAUAUCGAACCGCUUGGUUCAAUAGUGAAAGACGGCUUUGGUGUCUGUUUUAGCUGGAUCCGGGUCGGAUAAGCUAGUGGGUAAAGGAACAGCUUACCAACGCAACGAUGCGUAGCCGACCUGAGAGGGUGAACGGCCACACGGGACCUGAGAGACGGACCAGACUGCUAUGGGAGGCAGCAGUGGGGAAUAUUGCACAGUGGGCGGACGCCUGAUGCAAAAGCGCCGCGUUCGGGAUGACGGCCUUCGGGUUGUAAACCGCUGUCGCCUGUGACGAAGCGGGAGUGACGGUAAUGAGUAAAGAAGCACCGGCUAACUACGUG
RNAcentral lists this ribosomal RNA (477 nucleotides) under uncultured bacterium. RNAcentral describes it as "partial 16S ribosomal RNA". It matches the Rfam family "Bacterial small subunit ribosomal RNA", at positions 28 to 507 of the family's 1533-position model. The record is from RNAcentral.